CAGAUCCAAUCGCCCUUGUCCCCCUUCACCUUGCUGUCGGCCUAACUCUCCCCCUCUCUUCUCCGCCCCACCCCACUCGCUCCACCUACCGCGUCCACAGAGCCAGAACCCCUCGCCCCGCCGUGUGCCCUCGUCGGCUCGGCCAUGUCCUCAUCGGCCCAUGGGUUCCCAUCGAGGAGAUCGAGGAUGCCGCGCGUUUUCCUUCUCCUCUUUCUCAUUGCGCUACCGCGUUCAAGUAGAAUGACCCGACGCCGACGCCAAGUGGUUAUGCUUGCAGGCCAGGGAGCGACGCCGACCGAGACGAGGAUGACGACACCGUGAUGGAGGUCGAUGGCGCUGAGGUCGAGGAGGCCGCCCAGGACAAGUCCGCUGCCAAGGCGCUCUGGACCAAGAUCAGCUCGGGCUCGGGUGCCAUGAGGGUGCUCGUGCUCCUGUGGCUGACCCCUCCUGGGGACCUCGACAAGGUUUGGGGCCAGGGAGAAGCUGCUCGAUCUGACAAGUUUGGAUGCCCUCCAUGCCGCCCUUGCCGAUGCACAGGUUGAAUGUAUCGAUGUCCAGCGUUGUUAGCACUCUCAAACUUGAGCGCGCUGUAACAAGUCUAACAAGUCGGUUGUUUUACUGUGAGAUAGAUUUGGAUUUUUCAUGUCUUAAACACGCAUGUAGUAGCAGUACACCGUUUGAUGCAGAUCGAUCAGGCUGCUACGCAUACGUGCAUGUGUGCUGGUCCGAGAUCCUGCCAUGCCAUCACUGACUAAACAGUACUCUGCAUGUUCCCUUUGUUAAAUGAAUGAACAUUGUCGAUGUGCCAACCAUGGGUGCUGCCGCAUCCGGCUUCCUGCCUGGCCAGGAGAACUACAUCAUCUAUAUUAUCAGCCAACUGAGGAAAUGAUUUCAUGGAUGAGCAACAGAGACUACACGAUGACAACUCCAGGCUCCUCCAAGAGGUCAAGGACAUGAGGAGGGAGCUGAUUAGUGGCAAGGACCUCGUUGCAGAGUCCUGCAGGGUGCUCGAAGAGAACGUGAAGGUCCACCAGGAGGUCAAGGACUCCCGCACCACCAUGAAGAAGAUGUAUCCCACAAUUCAUAUAUGCGGCUGUUAUCUGGGUUUCCUAUUUGUCGGUGCUUCAAGAAUCAAGAACUCUAAUUUUCUUGAUGUUGUUGUUAUUGGCUCGUUUCCACAAGUUGUAUCCUGCAACUCAUAUUCUGUAAUGAUGUCCAGCGUUUC
Molecule: long non-coding RNA, 1225 nt
Organism: Triticum dicoccoides
Lineage: Eukaryota; Viridiplantae; Streptophyta; Magnoliopsida; Poales; Poaceae
Exons: 4
Source: RefSeq, a predicted model, not a curated record